RNAcentral lists this long non-coding RNA (1289 nucleotides) under Macaca fascicularis (crab-eating macaque). RNAcentral's name for it is "lncRNA (ENSMFAG00000048598.1)". Lineage: Eukaryota; Metazoa; Chordata; Mammalia; Primates; Cercopithecidae. The record is from RNAcentral.
CUUCCAGCCUGGCUUGGUGCAGGCCCUCCAUCCGCAGGCUUGGAUUUUUCAGGGUCUCAGGGUUGGUCUGGCUCAAGAACACUGACUCGUGUUUGCACAUCUCAGAGGAGACUGACACGGGAAACCAGAGUGCCAGUUCAUUAAUUUACAGUGAGUAAUAUAAGUGUCAAGUGGACCAGAUGUUGGCUUCAUCCUGACCAACACAUUCUCUCCCUGUAGGCAAGCUACUUGGGAAGUCAAACAAUCAGAAGGAUGCUUGGGGAACAGGCAGUCAGAACAGGAGCAUGGAGUUUGAUGAUUCCAACGUCCAGCCACACGGGUCUGCUUCUGGAGAAGGAAACGUAAGAGACGAGGAACCAGAAGUAGUUCUAGGAAGCAGAGACUCAGAAUUGGGCCAUGGGAUGGGAAUCUUUACUGGUGGAGAGAAGAUAGUGACAACGUGGGGCCCGUUGCAGCAUCGCAAUGACUAGCGCUCUCGUCUGACCUGGACCAGGCUGAGUGCAGGGAGGGACUUGCUCACACAUCAACAUGAACAUGAAGGAGCUGGGUGAUUGCUGAUGAAAACUAUGGAAUCUGUGAAAUAAAAAGUAACAUCAUAAGAGCCUGGAGGCCUACCUGGAAGCAUUUUUAAGAAGAUCUCUUCUCUUGUAGCCCAAAGGCAAACUUUACUAAAAUUUAAGCCCAAAAUAUGAUUUCAGGAGUGGUAGAGUUUCAGAGAAGAGCUGAGUUUGCUUCCCUGGCAGUUCUCUUACACUAAAGCCACAGAAGUGGGAAGAUCCUGAUACCUGGGCUGGGACACUGGGAAGAUGGUCUUCAGAGUUUAGGCCCUGGACUUCCCUGAGCACUGUCCAGCAGAACCGAUGAACCCUCCCAUCGCCUGGAGACCAUGCGGACUCCACGCCAGGCUGGAGGACUUGCAAGACAGAUGCUGCCUGCCCUCCUUAACAUCAGCACCUCCCCUCUCAGUGCUGCCAGACCAAUAACAAGACAAAAUCUCAGCAUGGUUCAACCAGGAAAACUCCGCAUUGGCUCCAGAGGGAAGGGCUCAUUGUAAAAGGAAACUGAGAGGACAUGACCAGGAAUGGAUACGGGGUAUGCUAGACCAGGGAGGGUGGCAGAUACAGCUGGGCAGGGCGAGGCCAUUGAUUUAGAAACACUUUCUCAUGACUCAGAAUUUAACAUCUUAGAAGAAAAUCUGCAGCCAAUCCAAAAUGUGGGUGGAAUCACUACUAAACUUGGAAACCAUGAUUAUUUACAUUAGCAUUGGCCCUCAACUCGGGUUGUUUUGU